This 269-nucleotide ribosomal RNA is filed under the name uncultured bacterium. Its description in RNAcentral is "partial 16S ribosomal RNA". It matches the Rfam family "Archaeal small subunit ribosomal RNA", at positions 474 to 746 of the family's 1478-position model. The record is from RNAcentral.
UCCCAGCACCCCGAGUGGUCGGGACGAUUAUUGGGCCUAAAGCAUCCGUAGCCGGUUCUACAAGUCUUCCGUUAAAUCCACCUGCUUAACAGUUGGGCUGCAGAGGAUACUAUAGAGCUAGGAGGCGGGAGAGGCAAGCGGUACUUAGUGGGUAGGGGUAAAAUCCGUUGAUCCACUGAAGACCACCAGUGGCGAAGGCGGCUUGCCAGAACGCGCUCGACGGUGAGGGAUGAAAGCUGGGGGAGCAAACCGGAGGAAAACCGGUAGUC